RNAcentral lists this transfer RNA (80 nucleotides) under Candidatus Zymogenaceae bacterium. Its description in RNAcentral is "tRNA-OTHER". It matches the Rfam family "tRNA". From Rfam's summary of the family: Transfer RNA (tRNA) molecules are approximately 80 nucleotides in length. Their secondary structure includes four short double-helical elements and three loops (D, anti-codon, and T loops). The record is from RNAcentral. Lineage: Bacteria; Deltaproteobacteria; Candidatus Zymogeniales; Candidatus Zymogenaceae.
CAUGGGGUGGUGUAACUGGCAGCACGCCCGAUCUCUUACAUCGGGAUCGGGAGGUCGCGGUUCAAAUCCGUGUCCCAUGC